CACGGGAAGAGGAGGAGGAGGAGGAGGAAGAGAGAGAAAGACAGAACUAAAAACCCUUGAAGGAUGGCUCUCCAAAAUUGCUGGCGGAAGCACGGGGAAUCCCUGGCAGCGCGGGAGCGGAGCUACUUUCUGGAUUUAUCUUGAAUGAGAAGAGAAGCUACUGAAUUAACACCCAGGCAGAAAGUGUCCUGUGUUUGAUGCUACAGUUCAGAAGUCCUUCAUAAAUGGCUUUGAUCUGGAGAGUUUGUACUGACUUUUUCUGAAUAGGAACCAUCUCCCCUGCUCCACUCAUCGGCACCAGAUCCUGCGACAUCUCUUUUCCACAGUGAGGUAGGAUAACCUUGCCAAAGAGGAAAGGAAUUUGGACAGACUUAACAUCCAGGCUGUGCAAGCUUCCAUGAGCUGGACACUAAAAUGAAGAGAGAGUUUAUUCAUUCCCAUCUCAACACAGCCCACCAGAAUUAAAAGACAUUUUAACCUACAAAGGAGAUUGGGUCUAACACCUCUCAGCCUGCCUACAUAGAGAAGGCUGUUCAAUUCCUCUGGCCACCAAGUCUCCACAUUUCUGUGUUGGAUGUGAAGAGUAAAGGGAAUCUGGCAGGAAUCAGGAGGCAUCCAAGUCAGCGGAAGAGACAGCACCAGGUAGAGGCUUGAUUCCUUUCUCCUAAUAUUCUUGCAGUAUGCAGUAUAUGCAUUAUUUCUUCUCCUCCCCUUGAACUUUUGUUUAUUCCUCUUCUCCACAUCAGUGGAGUCUCUGUAUUUGUACUUCUGGAGCAGGUGGCAUGGUUGGAAUAUCAGAGCAGUAUGUAUUAGAGUGAAACCUACAGACAGAAAUAGAAAGUAAAUGGAAGAUGAAUUGAUCAGAGGAAAGGCAGAGGAUGGAGGGGAUAAAGUAAAGGCG
Poecile atricapillus (Black-capped chickadee) is the source of this 901-nucleotide long non-coding RNA. RefSeq lists it as uncharacterized. Lineage: Eukaryota; Metazoa; Chordata; Aves; Passeriformes; Paridae. The record is from RefSeq and is a predicted model, not a curated record. The transcript is spliced from 4 exons.